Molecule: long non-coding RNA, 1765 nt
Filed under: Homo sapiens (human)
Lineage: Eukaryota; Metazoa; Chordata; Mammalia; Primates; Hominidae
Description: non-protein coding lnc-NBPF1-1:14
Source: RNAcentral
GCCAGCUGAAGGUCCAGGGAGAAGAGCAACCUGGUCCACAGCCUGCAGGUGGCCCAGCAGCAGGCCGAGGAGCUGCCGCAGGAGCGGGAGAAGCUGCAGGUUGCCCAGGAGGAGCUGCAGCGCCAGCGGGACCGGCUGGAGGAAGAGCAGGAAGAGGCGGUGCAGAAUGGCGCACGGGUUCGCCGGGAGCUUGAGCGCAGCCAUAGACAACUAGAGCAGCUGGAAGGGAAGCGCUCAGUCCUGGCCAAGGAGCUGGUGGAGGUGAGGGAGGCGCUGAGCCGCGCCACGCUGCAACGGGACAUGCUGCAGGCCGAGAAGACCGAGGUGGCCGAGGCGCUGACCAAGGGUGAGGCUGGCCGCAUGGAGCUCGAGCUCUCCGUGACCAAGCUGAGGGCAGAGGAGGCCUCCCUGCAGGACUCCCUGUCCAAGCUGAGCGCCCUCAACGAGAGCCUUGCUCAGGACAAGUUGGAUCUGAACUGCCUUGUCACCCAGCUGGAGGAAGAAAAGGCCAUGCUGCAGGGCCGGCAGCGGCAGGCGGAGCAGGAGGCCACAGUGGCGCCGGCAGAGCAGGAGUGGCUGGAGGAGCUGUGGUUGGAGCAGGAGGUGGCACGGCAGGGCCUGGAGGGCUCCCUAUGAGUGGCGGAGCAGGCCCAGGAGGCGCUGGAGCAACAGCUCCCCACACUGCACCAUGAGCUCAGUUGGCUGCAGGAGCAGCUAGCACAGUCCUGGCCCCCUAGGAGGCAGCAUGGCGGGAGCUGGAGGCCGAGCGGGCCCAGCUGCAGAGUCAGCUGCAGCGUGAGCAGGAGGAGCUGCUGGCCCGGCGGAAGGCUGAGAAGGAACAGCUGAGUGAGGAGAUUGCUGCCCUGCAGCAGGAGCAUGACGAGGGCCUCCUCCUGGCCGAGAGCGAGAAGCAGCAGGCCUUGUCUCUGAAGGAGUCUGAGAAGAUGGCGCUGUCAGAGAAGUUGAUGGGUACACGGCACAGCCUGGCCACCAUCUCCCUGGAGAUGGAGCGGCAGAAACCAGAUGCCCAGAGCCGGCAGGAGCAGGACCGGGUAGGCCUGCCGUCGUAGGGAGGCUUGCGGAGCAGGAGCGCCCUCUCUCCACCGAGCUAUCCCGCGGUUUCCAGCAUCCCAUCUGGCGGACUCCUCUUCCUCUCUCUUCUCCUACUCUGGGUCUUCUAUCCUGGUGUUCCUUGAAUGCCUAUCUUCCUUUUGUGCCUCGGAACCUCUCACGCCUGCCACAAGUUACUCUUUUCCUUGGUAGUUCUGAACUUUAAAUAAGGUAAUGCCUGUAAGAAUGCCAUAAAUGCUCAAUAAUUGUCAUCUGUUAUUAUUUUCAUCAGUAACAUCAUCUGAAUCAUCAGUAUUGUCUGCUUUUAACAGCUGCAUUUUUCAUUGUCCAAAUAUAGUCACAUACAUUUGACCAUUUUAUAAUUAUUGAAUAAUAAAUUUGUUCUGCUAUUUUACAAUGAAAAAUAAUGCUGCAGAGAGCAUUUUUGCACAUGUAUCGUGGCAGAUGUAGGCCAGAGGCUCUUCUUUUAUCCAUCCUAUGGCCAACCUAUGAAUGUAUACACGUUUAAUGAGAUUUUGCCAGCAAUCAAAGCCUUCAGGGAAAAUGUCCCUAGCUCUUUACUACAUCAGAUCAAGGACUCUGGAUAAUUGGCAUAACAUCCUGGAAUAGCUGAAACAGAGAUAUUAUUCUCUGCUCUCCUCUGUUGUCUUUGUCUUUUCACGUCUUAAUAAAAGUGCUGGUGACAAGAGUGUAA